AUUGAACGCUGGCGGCAUGCUUUACACAUGCAAGUCGAACGGUAACAGCACUUCGGUGGCUGACGAGUGGCGAACGGGUGCGUAAUACAUCGGAACGUGCCUAGUAGUGGGGGCUAACUACUCGAAAGAGUAGCUAAUACCGCAUGAGAUCUAAGGAUGAAAGCCGGGGACCUUCGGGCCUUGCGCUACUAGAGCGGCUGAUGGCAGAUUAGGUAGUUGGUGGGAUAAAAGCUUACCAAGCCGACGAUCUGUAGCUGGUCUGAGAGGACGACCAGCCACACUGGGACUGAGACACGGCCCAGACUCCUACGGGAGGCAGCAGUGGGGAAUUUUGGACAAUGGGCGCAAGCCUGAUCCAGCAAUGCCGCGUGCAGGAUGAAGGCCUUCGGGUUGUAAACUGCUUUUGUACGGAACGAAAAGCCCUCUUCUAAUACAGGAGGGUCAUGACGGUACCGUAAGAAUAAGCACCGGCUAACUACGUG
RNAcentral lists this ribosomal RNA (482 nucleotides) under uncultured bacterium. Its description in RNAcentral is "partial 16S ribosomal RNA". It matches the Rfam family "Bacterial small subunit ribosomal RNA", at positions 30 to 507 of the family's 1533-position model. The record is from RNAcentral.